This 253-nucleotide ribosomal RNA is filed under the name uncultured bacterium. RNAcentral describes it as "partial 16S ribosomal RNA". It matches the Rfam family "Bacterial small subunit ribosomal RNA", at positions 524 to 776 of the family's 1533-position model. The record is from RNAcentral.
UACGGGGGGGGCAAGCGUUGUUCGGAAUUACUGGGCGUAAAGGGUUUGUAGGUGGCUUGUUAAGUCAGACGUGAAAUCCCUCAGCUUAACUGGGGAACUGCGUCUGAUACUGGCGAGCUUGAGUGCAGGAGAGGAACGCGGAAUUCCAGGUGUAGCGGUGAAAUGCGUAGAUAUCUGGAGGAACACCGGUGGCGAAGGCGGCAUCCUGGACCGAUACUGACGCUGAGGAGCGAAAGCCAGGGGAGCAAACGGG